This 253-nucleotide ribosomal RNA is filed under the name uncultured bacterium. RNAcentral's name for it is "partial 16S ribosomal RNA". It matches the Rfam family "Bacterial small subunit ribosomal RNA", at positions 524 to 776 of the family's 1533-position model. The record is from RNAcentral.
CACGUAGGGACCAAGCGUUGUCCGGAAUCAUUGGGCGUAAAGAGCGUGUAGGCGGUCCGGUAAGUCGGCUGUGAAAGUCCAGGGCUCAACCCUGGGAUGCCGGUCGAUACUGCCGGACUAGAGUUCGGAAGAGGCGAGUGGAAUUCCCGGUGUAGCGGUGAAAUGCGCAGAUAUCGGGAGGAACACCUAUGGCGAAGGCAGCUCGCUGGGACGUUACUGACGCUGAGACGCGAAAGCGUGGGGAGCAAACAGG